RNAcentral lists this ribosomal RNA (483 nucleotides) under bacterium c1cb50. Its description in RNAcentral is "bacterial SSU rRNA". It matches the Rfam family "Bacterial small subunit ribosomal RNA", at positions 979 to 1457 of the family's 1533-position model. The record is from RNAcentral.
UCUUGACAUCCCAUAGAAACUUUCCAGAGAAUGGAUUGGUGCCUUCGGGGAACUAUGAGACAGGGUGCUGCAUGGCUGUCGUCAGCUCGUGUUGUGAAAUGUUGGGUUAAGUCCCGCAACGAGCGCAACCCUUAUCCUUGUUUGCCAGCACUUCGGGUGGGAACUCCAGGGAGACUGCCGGUGAUAAACCGGAGGAAGGUGGGGACGACGUCAAGUCAUCAUGGCCCUUACGAGUAGGGCUACACACGUGCUACAAUGGCGCAUACAGAGGGCGGCCAACUUGCGAAAGUGAGCGAAUCCCAAAAAGUGCGUCGUAGUCCGGAUUGGAGUCUGCAACUCGACUCCAUGAAGUCGGAAUCGCUAGUAAUCGUGGAUCAGAAUGCCACGGUGAAUACGUUCCCGGGCCUUGUACACACCGCCCGUCACACCAUGGGAGUGGGCUGCAAAAGAAGUGGGUAGUUUAACCUUCGGGGGGACGCUCAC